UACGUAGGGUGCGAGCGUUAAUCGGAAUUACUGGGCGUAAAGCGUGCGCAGGCGGUCUGUUAAGACAGAUGUGAAAUCCCUGGGCUUAACCUAGGAAUUGCGCUUGUGACUGGCGGGCUUGAGUACGGUAGAGGGGGGUGGAAUUCCUGGUGUAGCAGUGAAAUGCGUAGAGAUCAGGAGGAACACCGAUGGCGAAGGCAGCCCCCUGGGCCUGUACUGACGCUCAUGCACGAAAGCGUGGGGAGCAAACAGG
Molecule: ribosomal RNA, 253 nt
Filed under: uncultured microorganism
Description: partial 16S ribosomal RNA
Rfam family: Bacterial small subunit ribosomal RNA
Source: RNAcentral